This 179-nucleotide small nuclear RNA is filed under the name Notamacropus eugenii (tammar wallaby). RNAcentral's name for it is "U1 spliceosomal RNA (ENSMEUG00000017986.1)". The record is from RNAcentral. Lineage: Eukaryota; Metazoa; Chordata; Mammalia; Diprotodontia; Macropodidae.
AGACUAACCUGGCAGAGGUGAUUCCACCUAGAAGAUGGUUUCUCUAGGGUGAGGCUUAUCCAUUGCACUCCAGAAGGGUUUACCUCUGUCACUUCCCCAAAUACUUUCUUUCUGGGCCUCAGUGACCUCCAGAGAUUUCAGGUGAAGAAUAUAUCCUACCUAGAGCUACAGACUUCUUG